AAAGAAUCUUGCUCUUUAUCAACUGACUCCCUGAGGCGUUUCACGCUGCUCUCUGCUCCUUUUGCUUUUGAGCUCGUCUCACCACCUUUGACAAUAACCAAAUAUGCUCCUCAACCUUAGUAUCCAAGAAGGUGGGAUUCCUUCUUUCACCACUCAAAUCACUUUCAACUUCUACCUUCUUACCCGAGUUUUCCAUUUUCUUAUCUCCCAAAAUUUUUUUGUUUGAACCUUCCAAGACCUCCGACUCCACUAGCUCCUUUCCUUCACAACCAACCGAAUGAAAACGAUGUGAAGGAAGCUGCGAUAGGCUUCUCCGUCUUGCCCUGGCUCUGGAUCUUGACCGCGAGCGUGCUCUCCGUAGAGUGUUUUGGGAAGCACUAGGUGAUUGAGUUAUGCCUAACUCACUCCUUACUUCUACUUCCUUGCUUUGAGGUUUCACCGACGCGCUUGAACCCAAAAUAGAGACUGAAGACGGAGCCACUGUCACUGCAACUUUAACCUUGUUGGGCUUGUGUCUGCGGCUUUCUCUUCAUCGGAGGUUUUGGACAACGAUUCAUCAGAUGCCCAAACUUUCCACAAUUACAGCACUUGGGGGGGUAGUUUCGGAUACUCAAUCCU
RNAcentral lists this long non-coding RNA (618 nucleotides) under Brassica napus (rape). Its description in RNAcentral is "long non-coding RNA (BNAP_LNC022817)". Lineage: Eukaryota; Viridiplantae; Streptophyta; Magnoliopsida; Brassicales; Brassicaceae. The record is from RNAcentral.